GGGAAUCUUAGACAAUGGGGGAAACCCUGAUCUAGCCAUGCCGCGUGAUCGAUGAAGGCCUUAGGGUUGUAAAGAUCUUUCAGUGGGGAAGAUAAUGACGGUACCAACAGAAGAAGCCCCGGCUAACUCCGUGCCAGCAGCCGCGGUAAUACGGAGGGGGCUAGCGUUGUUCGGAAUUACUGGGCGUAAAGCGCACGUAGGCGGACCGGAAAGUCAGAGGUGAAAUCCCAGGGCUCAACCUUGGAACUGCCUUUGAAACUCCUGGUCUUGAGGUCGAGAGAGGUGAGUGGAAUUCCGAGUGUAGAGGUGAAAUUCGUAGAUAUCGGGAAGAACACCAGUGGCGAAGGCGACACACUGGCCCGUUACUGACGCUGAGGCGCGAAAGCGUGGGGAGCAAA
RNAcentral lists this ribosomal RNA (398 nucleotides) under uncultured bacterium. RNAcentral describes it as "bacterial SSU rRNA". It matches the Rfam family "Bacterial small subunit ribosomal RNA", at positions 357 to 772 of the family's 1533-position model. The record is from RNAcentral.